UGGAUCUGAUUCCAGAAUGAGAUCCAUGCAACAGACACAUCAUCGUCACCUGUGAUUUGUUUACUGGGAAGUCUUGAUCAAACAGCAACAGGAGGUUUCCGCCCUCGAGUCUCUGUCAGAUUGCAGCGCCGAUGUCAGGAGGUGGUGAGGGAGAGGGGAAGGCAGUGAGGCACACUAAGAAAGGGGAGACAGUGAAAGAGAAGGGCGUCACAAACUGCUCUAGCCGCCUUCCUGACCGGCUGCACAGGAUUUUGGUGUAAUUGGCAAGACCAGCGUUUGUUGUCCAGCCUAACUCUCCUUGAUUUAAGUGGCCAGAGUGUAGUUAAGAGCCACAUGGAGACCCCAGAAGGUCAGCAGUCCACAUCCCCCCCCCUCAGUAUGGCAGAUGACUGAGGCUUAAAAGGUUAAAGUGAGGAACACUUUGAAGGAAAUGCUGA
This is a non-coding RNA of Chiloscyllium plagiosum (whitespotted bambooshark), 437 nucleotides long. The record is from RefSeq and is a predicted model, not a curated record. NCBI's taxonomy places the organism in Eukaryota, Metazoa, Chordata, Chondrichthyes, Orectolobiformes, Hemiscylliidae.